AUUUAACCAGGUAGGCUAGUUGAGAACACCUUUAUUUAACCAGGUAGGCUAGUUGAGAACAAGUUCUCAUUUACAACUGCGACCUGGUAAAGAUAAAGCAAAGCAUUGUAACACAAACAACAACACAGAGUUACACAUGGAAUAAACAAACAUACAGUCGAUAUUAAAAUAUAAAAAGUCUAUAUAUAGUGUGGGCAAAUCAGGUAGGUAAGGCAAUAAAUAAGCCAUAGUGGCGAAAUAAUUAAAAUAUAACAAUUUAACACUAGAGUGAUAGAUGUGCAGAAGAUGAGUGUGCAAGUAGACAUACUGGUGUGCAAAAGAGCAACAUAAAUAACAGUAUGGAGAUGAGGUAGUUGGAUGGGCUAUUUACAGCUGAGCUAUGUACAGGUGCAGUGAUCUGUGAGCUGUGCUGACAGCUCGUGAGGGAGAUAUGAGUUUCCAGCUUCAGAGAUUUUUGCAGUUCGUUCCAGUCAUUGGCAGCAGAGAACUGGAAGGAAAGCCGGCCGAAGGAGGAAUUGGCUUUGGGGGUGACCCGUGAACUAUACCUGCUGGAGCGUGUGCUAUGGGUGGGUGCUGCUAUGGUGACCAGUGAGCUGAGAUAAGGCGGGGCUUUACCUAGCAAAGACUUAUAGAUGACCUGGAGCCAUUGGGUUUGGCGACAAAUAUGAAGCAAUGGACAGCCAACGAGAGCAUACAGGUCGCAGUGGUGGGUAGUAUAUGGGGCUUUGGUGACAAAACGGAUGGCACUGUGAUAGACUGCAUCCAAUUUGCUGAGUAGUGUUGGAGGCUAUAUUGUAAAUUACAUCGCCGAAGUCAAGGAUCGGUAGGAUGGUCAGUUUUGGCAGCAUGAGUGAAGGAUGCUUUGUUGCGAAAUAGGAAGCCGAUUCUAGAUUUAAUUUUGAAUUGGAGCAUCUUAAUGUGAGUCUGGAAGGAGAGUUUAGAUAUAGGUCUGUAGCAGUUGGGGUCUAGAGUGUCACCCCCUUUGAAGAGGGGGAUGACCGCAGCAGCUUUCCAAUCUUUAGGAAUCUCAGACGAUACGAAAGAGAGGUUGAACAGGCUAGUAAUAGGGGUUGCAACAAUUUCGGCAGAUAAUUUUAGAAAAAGGGGGUCCAGAUUGUCUAGCCCGGCUGAUUUGUAGGGGUCCAGAUUUUUUAGCUCUUUCAGAACAUCAGCUAUCUGGAUUUGGGUGAAGGAGAAAUGGUGGGGGCUUUGGCGGGUUGCUGUGGAGGGUGCCGGGCAGUUGACCGGGGUUGGGGUAGCCAGGAAAGCAUUGCCAGACGUAGAGAAUUGCUUAUUGAAAUUCUCAAUUAUAGUGGAUUUAUCGGUGGUGACAGUGUUUCCUAGUCUCAGAGCAGUGGGCAGCUGGGAGGAGGUGCUCUUAUUCUCCAUGGACUUUACAGUGAUAACCACAAUAACAACGAAAUGUGCAAACGUUGCCCAAUUAGCGGGAGGGUUGGUGGCAACUUUAUGUCUUGUGCGGUGCUGAAGUUCAGAACGGCUUUCAGUCAAAACCAAUACAGCGCUGUGAAACACCGAGCCUGAGCUCUGAUGUCAUUUAUAGCAUGUUACUGUACAGCCACUGCGUUACAUUUUCAAGCCGUAUACAGGUACGAGUGUAAAGGGUUAAUAAAUCACAGUGGGAGCACAUCAAAGUUAUGAACAGGUAUUCAUCAUUUCUUUGUAUUUGACCUUCUGUCAUGUUCUAUCCAAAAGAGGACUUCAUCAGAGGAUAUCAUCAACCAGAGGAUAGGGCUGCUCCUAGCUAUUAUCCUCAAGACUAAUGCAUCUGUAACUUUGUCCAGUCCUUCCUGGGAUGGGAGUUUUGGAGACAGGGCUGUCCUAAAAGCACAUUUAAAACCCAGUACAGCCUGGGGGUGACUAGUUCCAUGUUGCCAGAACUGCAGCAGAGAGACUCCUGUCUGGGAGGACUUUCUAUUAACCCACCAGAGCGAACGCAACACAUUCAAAUUUUUGUUCUCCAUCUCCAGGGGUCUCAUUUAUCAACUGUGCGAAAUUACAAAUGAUUGUGAUUUAUCAAACUGUUGAUCGCAACAUAUACACAUGUUUUCAUUGAUAAAUCAGAGCCAUACUAUAUUUGUGCGGUCAUGGACUAGCAUUACAACCCCACCUGGAAAACUCCAUUCACCUUUUCUGGUAACAAAAAUACCCUCAUAUGCUGUAUGAUUUGGAAAUGUUGGAACUGGGCCAUGAUAGUUCCUAAAAGAAAGAGCAAUGGCAAAUUUGAUCACACUUCUGUCAAUCUUUUGCAAUUACUUUUUCAUACUCAACAUGCAUGUGAGUGCCAGACACUGGCUGCAAAUUCUGCAAGAUUUAUUGUCUAUUCAAGUAAAUGCUACAGCCCACAAGUGUAUGCAAAAGAAAAACUGCUGUUUAAUCUUUUUUCUAUCGAUAGAUGAUUGUGUUUUUAUCUCCUGGCUUGAUAUAGGCUCUGAGAUGAAAUAGGCUAUGACAUUGUGCACCUAUUGCACAGAUAUUUAUCAUUAUGUUUUUAUUCACAUUAUUAUGAAUGAUUCCAUUUCCCCCAAAUAACAAUAUUUGUUGGCAAUACCAUUCUUCAAACACUAGAAGUUGUGCGUACGCAUGGUCUGAGCUGUGCGUGGAGAUACGCACCCUUUCCAUCAAGUUCAAAUUUGAAGAAUUACCAACCUUAGCAGGAAAACUGGCACACACAAGGCUUAGUGUUUCUUGUGCUUACGCACCUUUGAUAAAUGAGGCCCCAGAACUCGUUCCCACAGAAGCUCCCGCAGGCACUAUUCUCGCUCCCGUUCCCACCACCAGUGUUUCCAGAGCCGCUCCCACAGCCCGGAAUACCGUUUGUGUCAGAGCUACAGCCAUUCCCCCAUGUUCAACAGCCACAGGCACAUCGGCAACAGGAGUGCAGAGAACAGAAUGGAAUCAGACAGAGGAAGGAGAUGAGAAAUUUCCUCCACCACUGAACCAUCAAACACAGACCAGACUCCAACCCCUGAGACCUCCAGUCCACAACCCCCUCAGCCAGACACAGACCCCACCCCUGGGACCUCCUCUGACCAACUGAAGCCGGCCCAGAGUUGUUCCUGCUCAUGAGUAGUGCCCAGAGUCUUUCCUUGACCACAUGACAUGACCAGGAAAAACGUCUGCCCAUGACUCACUGUUCCCCCAUGUCUCCUCGGGACUUUGCUGGCCCAUUGGAAAACAUCUGCUGAAGAACCAAAGCCUCCAAAAGGAAAGACAAUAAAGAAACUUGCUCAAAUAUCCCAAAAAAUAACAAACAAUGAACCACCUCAGAAGCACAAAACACAACAGGCAAAGAAAUCACACUAGUUGCAAGCCCAAGAAGAGGAUGAUAAACAAAGCUGCCAGAAUACAGACACAAACAAAGAAUUUGCUCAAAUAGCAGCCACAAACAAAGAUUUUCCUCAAACCCCAGACAAAAACAAAGAAGUCUCUCAAAUGCCCCCAAUAAGGGAAGUGGAUAUGGAGGCUACUGAAACAUGGGACGCAGUGGACAUUCUGACCUACCAGAUUCGGACAUCCUAUGGAUACUUACACACACACCAGUGCACAGUACACAAAGACUCCUGUUUCCAUAUUUUUUUACCAGACGUUUUGCUGAAGAAAUGGUUUCUCUUUAUUUGUUGUGUUUCUUUUGUAAAAUUAUGUUGGUGAAUAUUAUUUCAUAAAACAAUGUUAGAUUUCAGAACCAAGAGUUGUACAUAGAUACUGUAUGUCUACAUUUGAUUUCUAUUAAAAAAGUCUCAAGCAGAGGUUGUUCUCUACUGGUUAA
Molecule: long non-coding RNA, 3787 nt
Organism: Oncorhynchus nerka (sockeye salmon)
Lineage: Eukaryota; Metazoa; Chordata; Actinopteri; Salmoniformes; Salmonidae
Exons: 3
Source: RefSeq, a predicted model, not a curated record